This 418-nucleotide ribosomal RNA is filed under the name uncultured bacterium. Its description in RNAcentral is "bacterial SSU rRNA". It matches the Rfam family "Bacterial small subunit ribosomal RNA", at positions 30 to 447 of the family's 1533-position model. The record is from RNAcentral.
AUUGAACGCUGGCGGCAUGCCUUACACAUGCAAGUCGAACGGCAGCACGGGAGCAAUCCUGGUGGCGAGUGGCGAACGGGUGAGUAAUGUAUCGGAACGUACCUUUCAGUGGGGGAUAACGUAGCGAAAGUUACGCUAAUACCGCAUAUUUUGUGAGCAGGAAAGCAGGGGAUCGCAAGACCUUGCGCUGAUUGAGCGGCCGAUAUCAGAUUAGCUAGUUGGUGAGGUAAAGGCUCACCAAGGCGACGAUCUGUAGCGGGUCUGAGAGGAUGAUCCGCCACACUGGAACUGAGACACGGUCCAGACUCCUACGGGAGGCAGCAGUGGGGAAUUUUGGACAAUGGGCGCAAGCCUGAUCCAGCCAUGCCGCGUGAGUGAAGAAGGCCUUCGGUUGUAAGACGUCUUUCUAGCCGGGAAC